CUUGAACUCAACGCGAUGAGCACAUCUGUUUGUCCUCAUUAAGUGCAGCGUAGCGGGCGCUAACCGACGUGCACAGGCAGCGGGCUGGGGCAGGGCCAGGGAGCCAGGAACAGGGCAGGAGAGCUGAGCUCUGCCCGCAGCCGCCCAAGAGGAGCUCUGCAGCCUGGGGAGAUCAGCUGCCUGCCUCUCUGAGACCACUGCCAGCAGGGGGUACAGCUGCCAAUAGCCCAAGAUCAUCCAAACGAAAGAGAGAGCCUCUGUCUAUCUUACAUUUGGAGAAAUCUGGGAAAGGAUUCAAACUGGUCAGGUAAACAUUUUCUCUCCUGAAGAGUCUUGUGGUCAAGAGAAUAAAAAGUCUUCCUUGUUGGGGCUGGCCCCGUGGCCGAGUGGUUAAGUUCGCGCGCUCCGCUGCAGGCGGCCCAGUGUUUCGUUGGUUCGAAUCCUGGGCGCGGACAUGGCACUGCUCAUCAGACCACGCUGAGGCAGCGUCCCACAUGCCACAACUAGAAGAACCCACAACGAAGAAUACACAACUAUGUACCGGGGGGCUUUGGGGAG
This 558-nucleotide long non-coding RNA is filed under the name Equus caballus (horse). RNAcentral describes it as "lncRNA (ENSECAG00000041870.2)". The record is from RNAcentral. Lineage: Eukaryota; Metazoa; Chordata; Mammalia; Perissodactyla; Equidae.